This 253-nucleotide ribosomal RNA is filed under the name uncultured bacterium. Its description in RNAcentral is "partial 16S ribosomal RNA". It matches the Rfam family "Bacterial small subunit ribosomal RNA", at positions 524 to 776 of the family's 1533-position model. The record is from RNAcentral.
UACGAAGGGGGCUAGCGUUGUUCGGAUUUACUGGGCGUAAAGCGCACGUAGGCGGAUCUUUAAGUCAGGGGUGAAAUGCCAAGGCUCAACCUUGGAACUGCCUCUGAUACUGGAGAUCUUGAGUUCGGGAGAGGUGAGUGGAACUGCGAGUGUAGAGGUGAAAUUCGUAGAUAUUCGCAAGAACACCAGUGGCGAAGGCGGCUCACUGGCCCGAUACUGACGCUGAGGUGCGAAAGCGUGGGGAGCAAACAGG